UUUAUGGAGAGUUUGAUCCUGGCUCAGGAUGAACGCUGGCGGCGUGCCUAAUACAUGCAAGUCGAGCGAACUGACGAGGAGCUUGCUCCUUUGACGUUAGCGGCGGACGGGUGAGUAACACGUGGGUAACCUACCUAUAAGACUGGAAUAACUCCGGGAAACCGGGGCUAAUGCCGGAUAACAUAUCGAACCGCAUGGUUCGAUAGUGAAAGACGGUCUUGCUGUCACUUAUAGAUGGACCCGCGCCGUAUUAGCUAGUUGGUGAGGUAACGGCUCACCAAGGCAACGAUACGUAGCCGACCUGAGAGGGUGAUCGGCCACACUGGAACUGAGACACGGUCCAGAC
This 346-nucleotide ribosomal RNA is filed under the name Staphylococcus chromogenes. Its description in RNAcentral is "bacterial SSU rRNA". It matches the Rfam family "Bacterial small subunit ribosomal RNA", at positions 1 to 336 of the family's 1533-position model. The record is from RNAcentral. Lineage: Bacteria; Bacillati; Bacillota; Bacilli; Caryophanales; Staphylococcaceae.